This 1371-nucleotide ribosomal RNA is filed under the name uncultured bacterium. RNAcentral's name for it is "partial 16S ribosomal RNA". It matches the Rfam family "Bacterial small subunit ribosomal RNA". The record is from RNAcentral.
AGAGUUUGAUCAUGGCUCAGAUUGAACGCUGGCGGAAUGCUUUACACAUGCAAGUCGAACGAAGUAGCAAUACUUAGUGGCAGACGGGUGAGUAACAUGUGGGUAUCUGCCCUUUGGCCUGGAAUAACACGAGGAAACUUGUGCUAAUACCGGAUAAGUCUUUACGGAGAAAGCUUUAUGCACCAUUGGAUGAGCCCGCACUUGAUUAGUUUGUUGGUGGGGUAAUGGCCUACCAAGACUGUGAUCAAUAGCUGAUUUGAGAGGAUGAUCAGCCACAUUGGGACUGAGACACGGCCCAAACUCCUACGGGAGGCAGCAGUGGGGAAUCUUGCACAAUGGAGGAAACUCUGAUGCAGCGAUGCCGCGUGAGUGAAGAAGGCCCUUGGGUUGUAAAGCUCUUUCGUCGGGGAAGAAAAUGACUGUACCCGAAUAAGAAGGUCCGGCUAACUUCGUGCCAGCAGCCGCGGUAAUACGAAGGGACCUAGCGUAGUUCGGAAUUACUGGGCUUAAAGAGUUCGUAGGUGGUUGAAAAAGUUGGUGGUGAAAUCCCAGAGCUUAACUCUGGAACUGCCAUCAAAACUUUUCAGCUAGAGUAUGAUAGAGGAAAGCAGAAUUUCUAGUGUAGAGGUGAAAUUCGUAGAUAUUAGAAAGAAUACCAAUUGCGAAGGCAGCUUUCUGGAUCAUUACUGACACUGAGGAACGAAAGCAUGGGUAGCGAAGAGGAUUAGAUACCCUCGUAGUCCAUGCCGUAAACGAUGUGUGUUAGACGUUGGAAAUUUAUUUUCAGUGUCGCAGGGAAACCGAUAAACACACCGCCUGGGGAGUACGACCGCAAGGUUAAAACUCAAAUGAAUUGACGGGGACCCGCACAAGUAGUGGAGCAUGUGGUUUAAUUCGAAGAUACGCGCAGAACCUUACCAACACUUGACAUGUUCGUCGCGACUCUAAGAGAUUAGAGUUUUCGGUUCGGCCGGACGAAACACAGGUGCUGCAUGGCUGUCGUCAGCUCGUGUCGUGAGAUGUUGGGUUAAGUCCCGCAACGAGCGCAACCCUUGUCAUUAGUUGCUACAUUUAGUUGGGCACUCUAAUGAGACUGCCGGUGACAAACCGGAGGAAGGUGGGGAUGACGUCAAGUCCUCAUGGCCCUUAUAGGUGGGGCUACACACGUCAUACAAUGGCUGGUACAAAGGGUUGCCAACCCGCGAGGGGGAGCUAAUCCCAUAAAACCAGUCGUAGUCCGGAUCGCAGUCUGCAACUCGACUGCGUGAAGUCGGAAUCGCUAGUAAUCGUGGAUCAGAAUGUCACGGUGAAUACGUUCCCGGGUCUUGUACACACCGCCCGUCACACCAUGGGAGCGGGUUCUGCCAGAAG